AGUGAAGUGAUCUGGGCUUCCACUGGGGGCUUCCAGCUUUUAAAAACUCCCUGGGUGAUUAGUGUGCAGCCAAGUUUGGGUACUAUUGGUUUAAUCCAUCAUUUUUACAGGUUUGGAGAGGGGUUUUGGGGGGUAGGGGUGGAGGUGGGAAGUGGGCAAUAGGGGGUGUCACAGAUGUCGAAUUGGAUAAAAACUUUUGUCCCUCAAUCCAGGCACUUGCAUUUAGAUGUAAAACCUGGCAUAGUAUUUCAGGGUAUUUACAGAUCCCAGGAAGUGAACCAGGGAAUGCCUGUGAGCCGUGUGGUCCCCAAGUGAGAAAAGUCCAGCUGCAGGAGUGUCCACCUCCAAUCGGGGUGACAGGAGCUCUCUUGUCCUAUCCAGAAUGGUGCUGGCCCUUUGUCUCAGUCUUUUUGUGCUGUAAUAACAAAGUACCCAAGACUGGGUAAUUUGUAAAAAGCAAAACAACAACAACAAACCAGGAAUUUAUUUCCCACAGCUUCUGAAGUCUGGGAAGUCCAAGCUCAAGGUGAAGUCUCCUCAGGUGGCAGAGAGCAGAAGCACACAAGAGACCAAACUCCCUCCCUCAAGCUCUUUUACAAGAACACUCAGACAUUCACAAGAGCUGAACCCUCAAGCCUACUCACCUCCUGAAGGCUACACCUCUAAUACGGAUUGAACUUUCGCAUGAGUUUUGAGGGAGAGCCAUUCAAAGCCUAGCACCCUUCGACUUCAGAGAAGCUCCGGCCCUGCUCUCACCAAGCCGGUUCCCCUUAGGCAGAGCGCCAAGAAGCAGCCCAGGCGAUCCCAAGGCUCACAAGUGCUCUCAUCAGGCUGCGCGCUGGCCGGUCAGUGCACCAGGGCAGGGCCGCCGCCCACGCGCGCUUGGUUCAGGCAGUCCAGGCUGCCCCCACUGGCGGCUACAAAAGCGCGCCGAGUCUUCCUGUCCACCCAGUCGCCCCACAUGUCAGCGGUUGGUCGCCUCGCGGUGCAGCGCUGGGCACGCAAGCCCCUCCCGCAGCCAUUCGCAGCACAAGCACCACCCGCAGCGACAGAGCUAAGAGCCCCCACGCCGCAGAGGUCGCGCGGAGCAGAUUUGAUGGAGUGAAACAGAGCCCAGCUGCUGGAGCAGAGGCACCUGCUCGAGUCCCACGGACACCCGCAGCCCAAUCCCCGGAGGCCAGUGGGGCUCACGGCCUAAGGCAAUAGCUAAUUGAGACUAUGCAUCAAUAUUCAGGCAUCGUCACUAAAGGGCACUGCGGAAGCGCUGCGUGAGAUGCGGCACCUGUCAGAAAGGGGGCUGCAUUUCAAAUGAGGAAUAUCGUAUUGUAUCACAAUAAAGUUAGUGUCCAGAGGGAACUUCCGCAGUACUGUGUUUUCUAAUGUGCUGAGUGAUAUUGUAGAUUUUUUUUUUUUUGGCUGGAAUUUCUAUGAAUACAUUUGAAGUAAAAGUGUUUUUUUAAUAUUUAAUUUUGUGGCUGGGUGCAGUGGUUCAUGCCUGUAAUCCCAGCACUUUGGGAGGCUGAGGCAGGCAGAUCACGAGGUCAAGAGAUCUAGACCAUCCUGGCCAACGUGGUGAAACCCCGUCUCUACUAAAAAUACUGGGCGUGGUGGCGCGCAUCUGUAGUCCCAGCUCCUAGGGAGGCUGAGGCAGGAGAAUGGCUUGAACCCGAGAGGCGCAUGUUGCAAUGAGCCAAGAUUGCUC
This is a long non-coding RNA of Macaca mulatta (Rhesus monkey), 1702 nucleotides long. The record is from Ensembl. NCBI's taxonomy places the organism in Eukaryota, Metazoa, Chordata, Mammalia, Primates, Cercopithecidae.